Stegodyphus dumicola is the source of this 293-nucleotide long non-coding RNA. NCBI's taxonomy places the organism in Eukaryota, Metazoa, Arthropoda, Arachnida, Araneae, Eresidae. The record is from RefSeq and is a predicted model, not a curated record.
GCUGCCGUGUAGCGUACGGAUAAGACGAAAGCUUUGUUUAUAAUUGUAUUAAAACUGCUCAGCCAGAUAAAAUUGGUGAAUGUAGUGAAGGAUGUCAAUCAUUCCCGCUGCUACGCAGCUAAUUUCAUAAGUAAAUGCCAUAAACAGCAAAAAAUGAAAAAAGACGAAGAAGAAGUAAUUCUUUCUGGUCGAGAUCAAUGGAUUUCGGUCGCAGGAGCGUGUUUUUGUGAAGUGCAUUUUGAAGAAAACCAGUUUGAAUGUUCUAGGAAAGAUGGGUUUAAAAAACUAAAGCC